AGGAUUAACGUUGGCGGCGUGCAUAACACAUGCAAGUUGAGCGUGGCUUUGGAUUUAUUCAAAGUCUAGCAGCGGACGGCUGAGUAAUGCACAGGAACAUAACUCGAAGUGGGGCAUAGCUCCGGGAAACCGGAGGUAAUACCGCAUGUGCUCGCAAGAGUAAAGCCGCAAGGCGCUUUGAGAAUGGCCUGUGUCCUAUCAGAUUGUUGGUGAGGUAAUGGCUCACCAAGUCUAUGACGGGUAGCUGGUCUGAGAGGAUGACCAGCCAGAUCGGGACUGAGACACGGCCCGAACUCCUACGGGAGGCAGCAGUUGGGAAUUUUGCGCAAUGGACGAAAGUCUGACGCAGCGACGCCGCGUGCAGGAUGAAGGCCUUAGGGUCGUAAACUGCUUUUGCGAGGGAGUAAUUUUGAACGUACCUCGAGAAUAAGCACCGGCUAACUCCGCGCCAGCAGCCGCGGU
This 462-nucleotide ribosomal RNA is filed under the name uncultured bacterium. RNAcentral describes it as "SSU rRNA". It matches the Rfam family "Bacterial small subunit ribosomal RNA", at positions 26 to 521 of the family's 1533-position model. The record is from RNAcentral.